UUUCGCAAUGCCCGAAAGGGUGACGAAGCGACGCCGCGUGAGCGAAGAAGGCCCUAGGGUUGUAAAGCUCUGUCGGGGGUUAUGAAAUGUAGAUCGGUUAAUACCCGGUUUAUUUGACAAAGGCCCCAAAGGAAGCCACGGCUAACUCUGUGCCAGCAGCCGCGGUAAUACAGAGGUGGCAAGCAUUGUUCGGUAUUAUUGGGCGUAAAGAGCACGUAGGUGGUUUUGUAAGUCAGAUGUGAAAGCCUUCUGCUCAAAGGAAGAACGGCAUCUGAAACUGCGAAUCUUGAGUGUAGGAGGGGAGAGUGGAACUUCUGAUGGAGCGGUGAAAUGCGUAGAUAUCAGAAGGAACGUCGGCGGCGAAAGCGACUCUCUGGCCUAUUACUGACACUGAGUGUGCGAAAGUUAGGGGAGCAAACGGGAUUAGAUACCCCGGUAGUCCUAACUGUAAACGAUGGGCACUAAGUAGAGGGGU
Molecule: ribosomal RNA, 475 nt
Filed under: uncultured bacterium
Lineage: Bacteria
Description: bacterial SSU rRNA
Rfam family: Bacterial small subunit ribosomal RNA
Source: RNAcentral